GUUAAAAAAAGUAUGAAAGUUUUACUUAUAAAGUGAUAAAAAAAAUUGCUUGUGACAUGCCAAGAAGAAAAAAUAUGGCUCAAUUUCUCAUUUUUGUUUAUGCUUUGUUUAUCUUUCUUUCUCCCUCGCUUGCUACCAUUAGAAGUAAGUUAUUUUUCACACAAUUUUCUAUUUUCUAAUUUAUGUUAUACACAAUAUAUUUUAUCACCUUUUAGUAACAUUGUUUUUUUCUUCUUUGACAAUGCAGCUAAAACCACGUUUCCCUGCGAUUCUGACCAUGAUUGUCCAUAUUAUAUAUUUCAUUCUUCUGAGUGCGUUGAUGGUUAUUGUCAGUAUUGGAAAUCAAUUUAAUUAAGUUUAAAAAUAGGAGUAAAUUACAUCCGCAUCUCUUAAAAGAAACUUAGUUGCAAUUUCCUUUCCACUUAUGUUAAAAUGUACACUUUAAUUAGUCCAUUUUGUGAUAACAAUUCACUUUAUUACACUAUUUUAUGUCAAAAAAUGGUAAGUUAUAAUUUAAGAAAUUAAUUUUCCUUUCAUUGAAUAUUUUAUUAUUUUAGAGUAUAAAAUUAAUUUUAAAAUAGUUUCUACAUAGAAUUAUUAUUUUUUUUUUUUAAAAAAAAGACAAUUGAACUGAUUAUUUUCUUGUCCUUUUGUUUCAAUUUAAAUUUUUGUUGUUUUUCAGUUCUUUCCUCUAAACCUCAUAAAAAGGCUACACAUUAGAAAAUAAAUAAAUAAUCAAAUGUUGCCUUAUCGAUUGAGUGAGCUAAAUAACCAAAAAUAAAAUAAAAUUUGAUUACCUAUGAUAAUUUUAAUAAUGAUUCUAAUUCUAUGAAGUUCUUUUUACGAUCUAUAAGUACAACAAAUAAACAAAACAUAAUACUUUUACAAUAUGAAGUGGUCAAUACAUUUCUAUAUGUUGUAAGGUUUAUUAGGAGAAAAACCAUGGCUGAAAAUUGUUAAGUUUGUUCAUUUAAUGAUCUUCUUUAUUUCUUUAGGCCUAGUAAAUAAUUGUUUGAAUUCCUUUGAACUUUAUUGUUUAUCUCAUACAAAAUAAUUCACCAUUUUCAAUAAUAUUUGUUUUUUAUUUUUCUAUAUUACAGGAGAUGGAAGUUUAAGUUGUAGAUUUAAGCAUGAUUGUUACAAAUUUACGUUUACUUGCCUAGCUCCUACUCUUCCAAAAUGUGUUUCUUAUUAUUGUACUCCCUCUUGUCUUAUAUAUAAGAAAAUAUUUACUUUUUAGAUACAUUAUAAAGUUGAUGUAUCUAGAUAACAUUGUGUUGAGGAUAAUAUGCCUAAAUAUC
Molecule: long non-coding RNA, 1301 nt
Filed under: Trifolium pratense (red clover)
Lineage: Eukaryota; Viridiplantae; Streptophyta; Magnoliopsida; Fabales; Fabaceae
Description: long non-coding RNA (TPRA_LNC013736)
Source: RNAcentral